UGACAGGAGGUAAAAGGACCGGGGAGCCCCAGCGUCAAGAAAGGGCUUAAAAAGUAGUAGGAGGACAAGAAACCGGGGCCUAAGUCACAGGAAGGAGCAUUUCCCCCCUCUUGUUCUCACUCUCUCCAUCGUUCACGCUCCUGUCAAAUUCGUCUUCUCUGCGGUAAAGGCCCAAUCACAGAAUCAUAUGAUUUUACAACUGACAGGGGCCCCGGGGGUCACCUAAUCCAUUUCCCUCCUUCCUCAGGUGAAGAAACCGAAGCCAAAAAGAUCAAGCGGCCUGCGUAAGAUUACACAGGGGGCUGAUUCACUCGGCACUCCAUAAAUACUUAUUGAUCACCUACUAGGCGCCAGGCCUGUCCCAGGAGCCUUUGAUGGCAGAAAUGACACCCAAACCUGGAACUGACGCUUCUAGACGACUGCUUUUCAUUCUAGACUGGCGGUUCUCAAACUGCAGGCACUGUGCCCCAAGGCCCUGCUUGAAAUGGAAGCUCUCUUCAAAGCACAGAUUUCCACACACCCUGUGCCAUGCUCCAGGACUGUGAGUCAUAUACCUAGCCCAUCGCCCCCACACCCUGGCCCUGCCUUUAACUUGCCUCAAAAGAGCCUUUUGGAUCAGUGAGUCUCCUAAAAGGUGAAAGUGAAAAUUCCUUUCAGGAUUGCACCUUCAGACACCCAGAAAUAUACCUAUGGCCUGGCAAAGUAUAAGCUGACAGCAUCCAGAAUUCUAGUCUCUACCAAGCCAUGCAGCAUCACAGAGCUUACGGUUGAUGUCAAAUAAAUAGAUCACGAAGCCA
Canis lupus familiaris (dog) is the source of this 797-nucleotide long non-coding RNA. RefSeq lists it as uncharacterized. The record is from RefSeq and is a predicted model, not a curated record. Lineage: Eukaryota; Metazoa; Chordata; Mammalia; Carnivora; Canidae. The transcript is spliced from 2 exons.